This 56-nucleotide ribosomal RNA is filed under the name Diversispora versiformis. Its description in RNAcentral is "partial 28S ribosomal RNA". Lineage: Eukaryota; Fungi; Glomeromycota; Glomeromycetes; Diversisporales; Diversisporaceae. The record is from RNAcentral.
GACCUCACCUCAAGUAAGAAUACCCGCUGAACUUAAGCAUAUCAAUAAGCGGAGGA